AUUGAACGCUGGCGGCAGGCCUAACACAUGCAAGUCGAACGGUAACAGGAAGCAGCUUGCUGCUUCGCUGACGACUGACGGACGGGUAAGUAGUGUCUGGGCAGCUGCCUGCUGGGGGGGGAUAACUACUGGAAACGGUAGCUACUACCGCAUAAUGUCGCCAGACCGAAGGGGGGGGGCUUGUGGCCUCUGGCCAUGGGGGAUGCCCAGAUGGGAUUCGCGUGGUGGGGGGGUAACGGAUCACCAAGGCGACGAUCCCUAGCUGGUCUGAGAGGAUGACCAGCCACACUGGAACUGAGACACGGUACAGAGUGCUACGGGAGGGAGCAGGGGGGAAUAUUGAACCAGGGGCGCAAGCCUGAUGCAGCCAUGCCGAGUGUAGGAAGAAGGCCUUCGGGUUGUAAAGUACGUCCAGCGGGGAGGAAGGGAGUAAAGUUAAUACCGUUGCUCAUUGACGUUAACCGCAGAAGAAGCACCGGCUAACUCCGUG
Molecule: ribosomal RNA, 490 nt
Filed under: uncultured bacterium
Lineage: Bacteria
Description: partial 16S ribosomal RNA
Rfam family: Bacterial small subunit ribosomal RNA
Source: RNAcentral